GGGGAUGUUUUUGGGAUUCGACAGGCGUAGAUUCGCAUUGACUGCGAUUCGUAGGUUACGUCUACGUAAAAACGUUACAGUUAAAUAUAACUGCAAAUAACAAAAAUUCUUACGCAUUAGCUGCUUAAUUUAGCGCAUGCGUUGCUCUUUGUCGGUUUACUCGUGGCUGACACUGAGUAUCAACUUUAGCGAGUUACGUUUAACUAUCUCACCUGAAUAGUUGAAAAGAGUCUUAACAGGUUAGCUAGCUCAUCCUAGCCCUGUUAUAUGGCGUUUUGAGCUAGUGAAGUUCAAGUAAUAUAACUAUGAUCGUAGAGGUCAGUGACGGAAUGCGUUUGGACAGGGGUUCAACUCCCCUCAUCUCCAUUU
Molecule: transfer-messenger RNA, 369 nt
Filed under: Lactobacillus helveticus
Lineage: Bacteria; Bacillati; Bacillota; Bacilli; Lactobacillales; Lactobacillaceae
Description: Standard tmRNA
Rfam family: transfer-messenger RNA
About the family: Bacterial tmRNA, also known as 10Sa RNA or SsrA, is named for its dual tRNA and mRNA-like properties. Its role is to liberate the mRNA from a stalled ribosome.
Source: RNAcentral